Molecule: small RNA, 148 nt
Filed under: Callithrix jacchus (white-tufted-ear marmoset)
Lineage: Eukaryota; Metazoa; Chordata; Mammalia; Primates; Cebidae
Description: Metazoan signal recognition particle RNA (ENSCJAG00000082496.1)
Source: Rfam by way of RNAcentral
GCUGGGCAUGGUGGCACAUGCCUGUAAUCCCAGCUACUUGGGAGGCUGAGGCAGGAGAAUGGCUUGAACCCAGGAGGUGGAGGUUGCAGUGAGCUGAGAUCACGCCACUGCACUCUAGCCUGGGUGACAGAGUGAGAUUCUGUCUCAA